Molecule: small nuclear RNA, 107 nt
Organism: Loxodonta africana (African savanna elephant)
Lineage: Eukaryota; Metazoa; Chordata; Mammalia; Proboscidea; Elephantidae
Source: Ensembl
GUACUCACUUCAGGAGCACAUAUACUAAAACUGGAACAAUACAGAGAAGAUUAACAUUGCCCUUGCAUAGGGAUGACACGCAAGUUCACAAAGCGUUCCAUUUGAAG